CGUGGACAACUACCUCCGGACGGGUAUAAACCCGGGAAACUGGGUAUAAUCCCCGAUAGAUCUCGGUCGCUGGAAUGCCCCGAGAUCGAAAGCUCCGGCGCCAGAGGAUGGGUCUGCGGCCUAUCAGGUAGUAGUGGGUGUAGCGUACCUACUAGCCUACGACGGGUACGGGUUGUGAGAGCAAGAGCCCGGAGAUGGAUUCUGAGACACGAAUCCAGGCCCUACGGGGUGCAGCAGGCGCGAAAACUUUACAAUGCCGGCAACGGCGAUAAGGGGACCUCGAGUGCCAGGUUACAAAUCUGGCUGUCGUGAUGCCUAAAAAGCAUUGCAUAGCAAGGGCCGGGCAAGACCGGUGCCAGCCGCCGCGGUAACACCGGCGGCUCGAGUGGUAACCGUUAUUA
RNAcentral lists this ribosomal RNA (401 nucleotides) under uncultured Methanosaeta sp. Its description in RNAcentral is "bacterial SSU rRNA". It matches the Rfam family "Archaeal small subunit ribosomal RNA", at positions 99 to 503 of the family's 1478-position model. The record is from RNAcentral. Lineage: Archaea; Methanobacteriati; Methanobacteriota; Methanomicrobia; Methanotrichales; Methanotrichaceae.